RNAcentral lists this ribosomal RNA (468 nucleotides) under uncultured Sphingobacteriales bacterium. RNAcentral's name for it is "bacterial SSU rRNA". It matches the Rfam family "Bacterial small subunit ribosomal RNA", at positions 916 to 1381 of the family's 1533-position model. The record is from RNAcentral. Lineage: Bacteria; Pseudomonadati; Bacteroidota; Sphingobacteriia; Sphingobacteriales.
GACGGGGCCCGCACAGGCGGAGGAGCAUGUGGUUUAAUUCGAUGAUACGCGAGGAACCUUACCUGGGCUCGAACGUAAGAUGACUGUAGGUGAAAGCUUACAUCUCUUCGGAGCAUUUUACGAGGUGCUGCAUGGUUGUCGUCAGCUCGUGCCGUGAGGUGUCGGGUUAAGUCCCAUAACGAGCGCAACCCUACCUUUAGUUGCCAUCAGGUAAUGCUGGGGACUCUAAAGGAACUGCCUACGCAAGUAGUGAGGAAGGCGGGGAUGACGUCAAAUCAGCACGGCCCUUACGUCCAGGGCUACACACGUGCUACAAUGGCCGAUACAGAGGGCAGCUACCUGGUGACAGGAUGCAAAUCUCCAAAGUCGGUCUCAGUUCGGAUCGGAGUCUGCAACCCGACUCCGUGAAGUUGGAUUCGCUAGUAAUCGCGCAUCAGCCAUGGCGCGGUGAAUACGUUCCCGGGCCUU